CAUCAUGACGAGUUGUGAAACACUUGCCCUCUUCAGUCUGUGUGCAGGCGUGCAUGGCAUCUACCUCCACGCCAUGUCAGCAGCCAUGGCCUAGUGGUGGGCAGCUGUGGCUUAGUGGUGGCGGGCAGCCAUGGCCUAGUGGUCUUUCAAUCUAGGGGUUGCAGGUUCGAAUCCCCACUGACCUCUCCCUUCAUCUCCAUGCAUGGCUGAAGUGCCCUUGAGCAAGGCACCUUACCAUACAUUGCUCCAGGGACUGUAACCAAUACCCUGAAAAAUAAUAACUGUAAGUCGCUUUUAAUAAAAUGAAAGCGUCAGCUAAGUGCAAUGUAAUGCCACAUGUGAUAUAAUGUCUCUCAAAGCAACUUCCCUGGAUGACCCAGCUAUGAUUCUCACCUGAGGUACAAGCCUAGACAUACAUACCUUCCAGGCAAAAAAAUGUGCUGCUGGUAGGGUUUGCCUUUCUAAGAUAAACUAUGUGGAAAAAUAGUUUACAUUUGUGUCAGCUGUGGUGUAAUGGCUUUUUAAAAAUACUUUGUGUCAAGCAGAGGGAUAUCCUUUAACAGUUCCUGUUAUCACAUCACUUGUCCCAUUCCCAUCAUAUCAGAUAUCACAUCACACACGGGUUACUUUCCACCCUGUGUGUAGCGAAAACAAAAAACAAAACUUAAGAUCAUAGUCACCCAUGGCGGGAAAAGGGGCGUAAUGGUUAAAAGGGGUUGUCCUUGAGACCUGGAGAUCAUUGGUUCAGACAUUACAAGUGUAAAUAGUGGAUGUAGCUCUAGUUUUAUCAUUCAUUGUUAUGUUUGUUCGUAAGUUGAGUCCAGAGUUUUAUUUUUUUGUGUGAACUCCCUUCAACCCUCUGACCGGAUGUUUUCAUCUGAUUACCAACAUUUGCUGCUGCACUUACCUGUAUAGGAGCAUCCACACAGGACAGCACCCCACAGAGGAGGACGUCUAGACACAAGAAAUCAAGUCUAUGUACCUGUAUAGGCAUGAUGGGGAUCCAGACUCAGGACCUCCAGACGGGAGCCAUGGGGCUCAGCCAAGUCGCACACUCAGACAACGGGACAGGAUUCUCUUGUAGAGAGCGACAUAAAGAUGAGAAACGUCCUCUUGAGAGACUUUCCAGUGCAGAUGUGACCUUGGUACCGAACCUGCUGGGGCGUCAGAUCAGCACAGAGCCUCCUGAUCCAGAGGGGGCGCCACCUGUGGAGACAGACGAUGCCGAAGACACCAGGAGGAACAUGAAGCGCUUUCACACUUGGUCCCUUUGAGACAUUUAAACCAUCUCAGACUAGUGACAUAUUCUGUGUAUGUCAAUAGUAGCCUACACAAUAGGGGUCAUUUUUGAUUGGUCAUUGUGCUGGCCAAGGUAGUACAGCUAUGAAGGGAGAGCUACUAGAUUUUCAUGCUAGUUAGGCUCCCCUUCAGCCAGACCUUAGCCUUAAGGCUUAUUUAGCUUUUAUUUAGUCAGGACAGUCGAAGACAGAGAGAGAGAGAGAGAGAGAGAGAGAGAGAGAGAGAGAGAGAGAGAGAGAGAGAGAGAGAGAGAGAGAGAGAGAGAGAGAGAGAGAGAGAGAGAGAGAGAGAGAGAGAAGGAAGGAUCGGGAUAUUACCUUGGGCUGGAUUCGAACCCGGGUCCCCAGCCCACUGAGCCACGAUGCCUCCUACUUUGCCAACGUUGUCACUGUGUUCCCUUCAGCUGGUGUGGGGAUGGGGAUCUCUUCUUCAUUGUAUCUCAGUGUGUAAGUACAGUUAUAGAUGUUGUUGUCCCCCUCUAACUCUAGAUAAGUCACAAGCUACAUCUCUGGUUGAGAGCGUAGACUGUUUUUACUGCAUAGACCCUGAUGACCAGCCUCAUGAGCUCAGGUGGGAUGACAAGAGGGGGUGUAGAGGAGAAAUCAGAACCAGAGGGAAUCAUGUUGGUGUUGCUUUCCUUAGUAACGGGAUGUUGCUUUCCUUAGUAACGGGAUGCUGCUUUCCUUAGUAACGGGAUGUUGCUUUCCUUAGUAACGGGAUGUUGCUUUCCUUAGUAACGGGAUGCUGCUUUCCUUAGUAACAGGAUGCUGCUUAACGGGAUGCUAGCGAUGCUACUGUACGGUUCUUUUCUUGUGAAGAGACACAUUUUAAACUGUGGCCAUUUGUAACUUUUUAUACUGCAUUAACACUCCUUGUAAGAUUUCUGUGUCAUUAGCCCAGUUGAUUUAUAAUAGUAGCCUAAUAUUUUAUAAUAUAUUAUAAUAAUUUAUCUGCCAAAUUAUUUGAUUCCGUUUCAGAGCAUCUUGGUAUGUUCUUUUUGGAAGGCUGCUUUCUUGCCUGUCUAUAUCUUAUAAAAUAUAAUAAUAUGAUAUAUGUAUAAAAAUGUUUGACACCAGUAACAUCAGACACAAUGACUGUAUUUAAGAUGUCAAGAUAUUCAGUUCUUUUAAAAGGUGUUUUCUAUAUGUCCAUGUGUGUUCGGGAGUUGACUUUAUAUUAAUUCAGUAAGACAAAUUGUCACACUUCAUUUACUGUAAAUUAAGUUUUUAUUAUGUGCAGAUUGGAGCCACAUAACAUUUUUUUUUUCAACAAGUUACUGUACGACACUUAGCUAUGAAACAUUUUAAUCAAUACAUAAAACACAGUCACUUAAAUACUAUAUAUAAGAAGUUCUAUUCUGGCAGGGGUUUUACCUUUUAGAAGAAGUGGUUCGGGUUUUGUGUUUCCAAGAUAUUAUGGAUAUCAUAUCCCUCUAUGUUAUCUUGCUUUCAACAAGCUGAGAGGCACCUGUACCCCAGUGAGAGGGAGGUCUGUCCAAUAGCCAUAAUGGCUAAUACAAGAUGCUCCAGUAUAACCCAGUGUGAUACUGGAUGAAAAUGUUUUCCAUUAACUGUGCAUGCAUAGUAUGUUUCAUUGAGCUUUUGUAGAAAAUAUGAAUAAAAAAGAAAAGAAAAAUGACAUUCCGUUCAGACAUUCCGUCAGAACCCAGACAAGAAACCGAUCACCUGUCCCUUGACUGGCUAUUUGAAUUAUUUAGAAGUAGGUGUACAGUACUGUAUGUGUGAAGUCCACUGUGCCUCUAAUGCCUCUUUUCCAUUGCCGGUUUUCUGGUAGGCCUACAUUUUGACCAAGCGCGACUCGGCCGCCACGUUUUGCUUUAUGAUUGAGCUGUGUCAUGCCUAUUCGAAAAUCUUUGUCGAGAUGUAGGCAUACCAGAAAUCCGGCAGUGGAAAAGAGGCAUAAGUUCUUCCUGGAAGAAUGGGUGUCUGUUCUUCCUGGUAGAGUGGUGGACGUUCUUCCUCUUCCUGAUGGUUGUGGAAGCUGCAAACAUGAUAGUCCCCCUUAGGUUUGGGGUUUUGUCUUUACUGUCACCCCUGAAAGCUUUUACAAAGGGAUGAAGGAUGUGCAUAACACCUGACCUUAAUCUUUAUUUUCUAGAAAUACAGAUGUAUUUGGAAAUGUGUUCCACCAGCCAUUUGUUUUUGGUUUGUAUAUCUGUAGAAAAAUGAUUCGUUUGUAACCUGUGUUACUACAAAUACAGUAAUUCUGUGCAAAGAAAAUAUGUGUAAAAUCAUGAUUUCGGUUGUAUGUAACCACACUACAUGAUGGAAAAUAGCUAAGCAGUAGUUUCUUUGUGCAUAUUAAAACGUUUUUCCAACUUACACCUGUGGUGCAACUGCCAAAAUCAAUAAAUUAAAAAUGAACAACAAA
Molecule: long non-coding RNA, 3690 nt
Organism: Engraulis encrasicolus (European anchovy)
Lineage: Eukaryota; Metazoa; Chordata; Actinopteri; Clupeiformes; Engraulidae
Exons: 4
Source: RefSeq, a predicted model, not a curated record